AUGUAUUGGCUAAUCGUGGAACAAAUUAAGCACACUGUCUCAGUACCUUUUGUCAAACUGCAUUAUAUUUUAUUGUUGUCUUUCUCCCUCUUUCUUUAUUUGAACAUUUUCUCGUCAUAAUCUUUUUAGUGACUCUAAAAGUGCUCAUCAUAACCUUUUUAGUGACUCGACUUAUGCUCAUCAUACAUAAUUGGAUUUCCUCUUCUUCGUGUUCUAUUGAUCAGAAGCAUCCAGCAGCGCCUCCCCGGUGUAGAAUUCGAACAAAAAAUGGCCAUA
This 276-nucleotide long non-coding RNA is filed under the name Solanum tuberosum (potato). RNAcentral's name for it is "long non-coding RNA (STUB_LNC003126)". The record is from RNAcentral. Lineage: Eukaryota; Viridiplantae; Streptophyta; Magnoliopsida; Solanales; Solanaceae.